This 1189-nucleotide ribosomal RNA is filed under the name Escherichia coli. RNAcentral describes it as "partial 23S ribosomal RNA". It matches the Rfam family "Bacterial large subunit ribosomal RNA", at positions 1 to 1230 of the family's 2925-position model. Lineage: Bacteria; Pseudomonadati; Pseudomonadota; Gammaproteobacteria; Enterobacterales; Enterobacteriaceae. The record is from RNAcentral.
GGUUAAGCGACUAAGCGUACACGGUGGAUGCCCUGGCAGUCAGAGGCGAUGAAGGACGUGCUAAUCUGCGAUAAGCGUCGGUAAGGUGAUAUGAACCGUUAUAACCGGCGAUUUCCGAAUGGGGAAACCCAGUGUGUUUCGACACACUAUCAUUAACUGAAUCCAUAGGUUAAUGAGGCGAACCGGGGGAACUGAAACAUCUAAGUACCCCGAGGAAAAGAAAUCAACCGAGAUUCCCCCAGUAGCGGCGAGCGAACGGGGAGCAGCCCAGAGCCUGAAUCAGUGUGUGUGUUAGUGGAAGCGUCUGGAAAGGCGCGCGAUACAGGGUGACAGCCCCGUACACAAAAAUGCACAUGCUGUGAGCUCGAUGAGUAGGGCGGGACACGUGGUAUCCUGUCUGAAUAUGGGGGGACCAUCCUCCAAGGCUAAAUACUCCUGACUGACCGAUAGUGAACCAGUACCGUGAGGGAAAGGCGAAAAGAACCCCGGCGAGGGGAGUGAAAAAGAACCUGAAACCGUGUACGUACAAGCAGUGGGAGCACGCUUAGGCGUGUGACUGCGUACCUUUUGUAUAAUGGGUCAGCGACUUAUAUUCUGUAGCAAGGUUAACCGAAUAGGGGAGCCGAAGGGAAACCGAGUCUUAACUGGGCGUUAAGUUGCAGGGUAUAGACCCGAAACCCGGUGAUCUAGCCAUGGGCAGGUUGAAGGUUGGGUAACACUAACUGGAGGACCGAACCGACUAAUGUUGAAAAAUUAGCGGAUGACUUGUGGCUGGGGGUGAAAGGCCAAUCAAACCGGGAGAUAGCUGGUUCUCCCCGAAAGCUAUUUAGGUAGCGCCUCGUGAAUUCAUCUCCGGGGGUAGAGCACUGUUUCGGCAAGGGGGUCAUCCCGACUUACCAACCCGAUGCAAACUGCGAAUACCGGAGAAUGUUAUCACGGGAGACACACGGCGGGUGCUAACGUCCGUCGUGAAGAGGGAAACAACCCAGACCGCCAGCUAAGGUCCCAAAGUCAUGGUUAAGUGGGAAACGAUGUGGGAAGGCCCAGACAGCCAGGAUGUUGGCUUAGAAGCAGCCAUCAUUUAAAGAAAGCGUAAUAGCUCACUGGUCGAGUCGGCCUGCGCGGAAGAUGUAACGGGGCUAAACCAUGCACCGAAGCUGCGGCAGCGACGCUUAUGCGUUGUUGGGUA